This 213-nucleotide long non-coding RNA is filed under the name Salvia miltiorrhiza (redroot sage). RNAcentral describes it as "long non-coding RNA (SMIL_LNC000129)". Lineage: Eukaryota; Viridiplantae; Streptophyta; Magnoliopsida; Lamiales; Lamiaceae. The record is from RNAcentral.
AUUACAAAUAACACUGUUAAUGCAUGCAAAUGAUACUUUUGAAUGUAACCAAGAAGGGCCCGAGGUUUUUUUUUUUUAAAAUUGAUAAUUAAAAAAUUUAAAACUGAAUCGGGCCAAACCGACUGGACCGGACUAGUACAGAACAAGCGGCACAAGCAAUAGAAAUGCGCUGAAAAUUGUUAUGGUGCUAGGCCUUGAACCAGUGACCCCGCA